Molecule: unclassified non-coding RNA, 404 nt
Filed under: soil metagenome
Description: partial contains 5.8S ribosomal RNA, internal transcribed spacer 2, and large subunit ribosomal RNA
Rfam family: 5.8S ribosomal RNA (bases 1-122)
Source: RNAcentral
GAUGAAGAACGUAGCGAAAUGCGAUACUUGGUGUGAAUUGCAGAAUCCCGUGAACCAUCGAGUUUUUGAACGCAAGUUGCGCCCGAAGCCUUUUGGCCGAGGGCACGUCUGCCUGGGCGUCACGCAUCGCGUCGCCCCCCACAAUUCUCCGUAAAGGGAACAUGUGUUUUGGGGGCGGAUAUUGGUCUCCCGUGCUCAUGGCGUGGUUGGCCGAAAUAGGAGUCCUUUCGAUGGACGCACGAACUAGUGGUGGUCGUAAAAACCCUCGUCUUUUGUUUCGUGCUGUUGGUCGCAAGGUAAACUCUUUAAAAACCCCAAUGUGUCGUCUCUUGACGACGCUUCGACCGCGACCCCAGGUCAGGCGGGACUACCCGCUGAGUUUAAGCAUAUCAAUAAGCGGAGGA